RNAcentral lists this long non-coding RNA (1141 nucleotides) under Diabrotica virgifera virgifera (western corn rootworm). Its description in RNAcentral is "uncharacterized LOC126881603". Lineage: Eukaryota; Metazoa; Arthropoda; Insecta; Coleoptera; Chrysomelidae. The record is from RNAcentral.
ACAACAUUCCAGGAAUGUACUACCAAAGUUCUAUCAAUAUUUGAAUGUCCUGGACAUUUAGGGAACAUUCGGUGAACAUCUGUUUAAAUUAUUCCUGGAAUGUUACCAUAAGACAUUCUGUGAACAUACUACCAAUGUUCCUAUAUUUUAAGUUGCGAAAUAAUACAUACGUGUAACAGAUUCAGAUACAACAUUACUUAUAACAUACCAGACAAACUGAGUGACAUUUUAGGCCUACAGUGUCAAAUUUAAAGAGUUUCCCAAGUUCAAUUAAUACAAUAUUAUAAACAUACAAAUGUAAUAAAAAUUAUUGUUCGCGAAUAUUCAAUUUGGAAUGCGAUUUUGUUAAUAAAAAAAUACUUAUAACUUAUGCAAAACCCAAGAGAGGCAUUAUUUAUAUUUAUUUCUUUUGCGUUCAUUUUCAAAUUCGCCGUGCAUAUAUUUUUGUGCAUGGCGCUUGAGAGGGCAUCACGUGACUAAAAACGACCAACCAACGACCUCGCUUCGGCCAUCUUGGCAUCUUCAUUUUCAUUUCAUCUUGGCCACCUUGCCCGGCCUUGCCUUGCCGUGGAUAGUUUGUAUUAUUUGUGCUUUUUAAGAAUAUUUUUUUAAUUCGGAUACUUUUAUAAUAGCUUUAAUAGUAUUAUUAACAUAGUGCAUAAAAUGGUGUCCUGUUUUUGACGCAGUUGGAGUAGCAGAAACAAAUGUAGAUAAAAAAAUCUGCAGGAAUAACGUUUCAAUUAUGACAGAAGCUCGAAACAAAUGACUGUGAAUUAGUGUGAAUGAAAAGCCCUAUUAAAAGCUUUCCAGAAGAUCCUGCGAAGAAGACAUGAAGUAUAGAUCAGAUUUGUUAAUAGAGGAGUAUGUUCAAAACACUUUUUAGAAAAAGAUAUUGACAGAACUUCACUUUCAUCUGUUCGUUUGAGAGACUGUGCUGUUCCAAUAGCUUAUGUCACACAGAAUCAGCUGAGAGAAGUGGUCUACAAAAAACCAGAAAGGAAACGGAAUAUGUGGCUACGAAAAGCAAAAGAAAGGUUUACAAAGCAAAUGUGACACAUUUUUUUAUAAUAUUUAGGAAUGUCAGUAAAUUACAUUAAAAAAUGUAUGUAAAGAUUUUUUGCAAUAAAAAUGUUUAUAUUUA